Molecule: ribosomal RNA, 118 nt
Organism: Cavia aperea (Brazilian guinea pig)
Lineage: Eukaryota; Metazoa; Chordata; Mammalia; Rodentia; Caviidae
Source: Ensembl
GUCUACGGCCUACCACCCUGAAUGCACCCGAUCUCGGAAGCUAAGCAGGGCUGGGCCUGGUUAGUACUUGGAUGGGAGAAGUAAGGUAGAAAAUGAGAACAAUUGAUAGGCGUAGGAG